RNAcentral lists this ribosomal RNA (253 nucleotides) under uncultured bacterium. Its description in RNAcentral is "partial 16S ribosomal RNA". It matches the Rfam family "Bacterial small subunit ribosomal RNA", at positions 524 to 776 of the family's 1533-position model. The record is from RNAcentral.
UACGGGGGGGGCAAGCGUUGUUCGGAUUUACUGGGCGUAAAGGGCGCGUAGGCGGCUUAACAAGUCACUUGUGAAAUCUCCGGGCUUAACUCGGAACGGCCAAGUGAAACUGUCAAGCUAGAGUGCAGAAGGGGCAAUCGGAAUUCUUGGUGUAGCGGUGAAAUGCGUAGAUAUCAAGAGGAACACCUGAGGUGAAGACGGGUUGCUGGGCUGACACUGACGCUGAGGCGCGAAAGCCAGGGGAGCAAACGGG